CAGCAGCCGCGGUAAUACGGAGGGAGCUAGCGUUGUUCGGAAUUACUGGGCGUAAAGCGCGCGUAGGCGGUUACUCAAGUCAGAGGUGAAAGCCCGGGGCUCAACCCCGGAACUGCCUUUGAAACUAGGUGACUAGAAUCUUGGAGAGGUCAGUGGAAUUCCGAGUGUAGAGGUGAAAUUCGUAGAUAUUCGGAAGAACACCAGUGGCGAAGGCGACUGACUGGACAAGUAUUGACGCUGAGGUGCGAAAGCGUGGGGAGCAAACAGGAUUAGAUACCCCCGUAGUCCCUGUCUCUUAUAU
Molecule: ribosomal RNA, 301 nt
Filed under: uncultured bacterium
Lineage: Bacteria
Description: partial 16S ribosomal RNA
Rfam family: Bacterial small subunit ribosomal RNA
Source: RNAcentral